RNAcentral lists this unclassified non-coding RNA (334 nucleotides) under soil metagenome. Its description in RNAcentral is "partial contains 5.8S ribosomal RNA, internal transcribed spacer 2, and large subunit ribosomal RNA". The stretch from base 1 to 119 matches the Rfam family "5.8S ribosomal RNA", at positions 35 to 154 of the family's 154-position model. The record is from RNAcentral.
GAUGAAGAACGCAGCGAAAUGCGAUACGUAAUGUGAAUUGCAAAUUCAGUGAAUCAUCGAGUCUUUGAACGCACAUUGCGCCCCCUGGUAUUCCGGGGGGCAUGCCUGUUCGAGCGUCAUUUCAACCCUCAAGCUCUGCUUGGUAUUGGGCUCCGUCCUCAGGGACGCGCCUCAAAGACCUCGGCGGUGGCGUCUUGCCUCAAGCGUAGUAGAAAACACCUCGCUUUGGAGUGCUGGGCGUCGCCCGCCGGACGAACCUUUGAAUUUUUCUCAAGGUUGACCUCGGAUCAGGUAGGGAUACCCGCUGAACUUAAGCAUAUCAAUAAGCGGAGGA